This 603-nucleotide ribosomal RNA is filed under the name uncultured marine eukaryote. Its description in RNAcentral is "SSU rRNA". It matches the Rfam family "Eukaryotic small subunit ribosomal RNA", at positions 612 to 1220 of the family's 1831-position model. The record is from RNAcentral.
GUUGCGGUUAAAAAGCUCGUAGUUGGAUUUCUGUUGAGGUCGGGCGGUGUACACCUCGUGUAUUAUUUGCUUCGGUCUCGGCAUCCUCUUGGGGAACGUAUCAGGACUUUAUUGGACUGUGCGGGAUUCAAGACUUUUACUUUGAGGAAAUUAGAGUGUUCACGGCAGGCAAGUGCUUUGAAUACAUUAGCAUGGAAUAAUAAUAUAGGACCUUCGUUCUAUUUUGUUGGUUUCUAGAACUUAGGUAAUGAUUAAUAGGGACAAUUGGGGGCAUUCGUAUUAACGCGUCAGAGGUGGAAUUCUUGGAUUGCAUUACGACGAACUACUGCGAAAGCAUUUGCCAAAGAUGUUUUCAUUGAUCAAGAACGAAAGUAUGGGGAUCGAAGACGCUUAGAUACCGUCGUAGUCUAUACCAUAAACUAUGCCAACUAGAGAUCGGUGGGGUUAUCCUAUGUGGCUCCAUCGGCAUCUUAUGAGAAAUCAAAGUUUUUGGGUUCCGGGGGGAGUAUGGUCGCAAAGCUGAAACUUAAAGGAAUUGACGGAAGGGCACCACCAGGAGUGGAGCCUGCGGCUUAAUUUGACUCAACACGGGAAAACUCACCA